AUCCUUUUAUAGUUCUUAAGUAUGAUGAUUGGAUGUUUAUGCCGUUGUGUAACAUCUGCCUCCCUCAAACCUUGUUAUGACCUUAGCACAUUACCCGUCUGACA
Callorhinus ursinus (northern fur seal) is the source of this 104-nucleotide small nucleolar RNA. RefSeq annotates it as small nucleolar RNA U13. NCBI's taxonomy places the organism in Eukaryota, Metazoa, Chordata, Mammalia, Carnivora, Otariidae. The record is from RefSeq and is a predicted model, not a curated record.